CCUACGGGAGGCAGCAGUAGGGAAUCUUCCACAAUGGACGAAAGUCUGAUGGAGCAACGCCGCGUGAACGAUGAAGGCUUUCGGGUCGUAAAGUUCUGUUGUAAGGGAAGAACAAGUGCCGCAGGCAAUGGCGGCACCUUGACGGUACCUUGCGAGAAAGCCACGGCUAACUACGUGCCAGCAGCCGCGGUAAUACGUAGGUGGCAAGCGUUGUCCGGAAUUAUUGGGCGUAAAGCGCGCGCAGGCGGCCUCUUAAGUCUGAUGUGAAAGCCCCCGGCUCAACCGGGGAGGGCCAUUGGAAACUGGGAGGCUUGAGUAUAGGAGAGAAGAGUGGAAUUCCACGUGUAGCGGUGAAAUGCGUAGAGAUGUGGAGGAACACCAGUGGCGAAGGCGACUCUUUGGCCUAUAACUGACGCUGAGGCGCGAAAGCGUGGGGAGCAAACAGGAUUAGAUACCCUGGUAGUCCACGCCGUAAACGAUGAGUGCUAGGUGUUGGAGGGUUUCCGCCCUUCAGUGCUGAAGCUAACGCAUUAAGCACUCCGCCUGGGGAGUACGGUCGCAAGGCUGAAACUCAAAUGAAUUGACGG
This 587-nucleotide ribosomal RNA is filed under the name uncultured bacterium. RNAcentral's name for it is "bacterial SSU rRNA". It matches the Rfam family "Bacterial small subunit ribosomal RNA", at positions 338 to 916 of the family's 1533-position model. The record is from RNAcentral.